GGAUUUGAGUGCAAGUGGGAGAUUGUUGGAAGUAUGCCCACAAAGCCACUCAUUUGAUGUAAUAGCUUUUUGGAAUACUUAAUGUAUUAAACUUUUAUAUGUUUAAUGAAGGGCAAAGCUUAUUGUUAAUCACUAUUUAUUGUAUCUUGUGUUUAAACAAUAAGGGAAUCCUAGGGAUGUAUUUGAUCUAAGAGACAAGUGAUCUAAGUGAGUUAGAUUAUCGAGACCAUUC
Molecule: long non-coding RNA, 232 nt
Filed under: Malus domestica (apple)
Lineage: Eukaryota; Viridiplantae; Streptophyta; Magnoliopsida; Rosales; Rosaceae
Description: long non-coding RNA (MDOM_LNC014061)
Source: RNAcentral